GGUAAACCGCCUGUUAGUCUUGAGCUGUCCGGCAUCCUCCCUCCCUUCCUCAGAGUAAGGAGUUCAGAUUUGGGAAGAGAUCACCACUCCUGUAGCAACUGGACUAACUGUGCUCUGACACCAGGAACAGCAGGAGAAGCGCGCUGACCCGAGAUGCCCCUUGGAGUCCUAUGGCUAUUCGUGAGCCAGGCCUGGCUGGUGAUGUUUCCUGAGAAAGGCUGACCCAGCUGCUCUGCGAAGACAGGAAACAGGGGGACAUCUGCAGGUCCCAUAAUGACUGGCUUUCCUGAGAUUGAGACAAUUUGCACUGUACCGUAUGAAAGACUAUCCCAUUUGGCACAGAACUGUCCCCUUCGAAAGUCUGAUUGGACACCUAUGUAGGUGGAAAAAAAUGCAUAUAGUGAUCUUAUCCAGGACCUCAACUCUGGUGUACAUGUAAACGUAAAAUAACCACACAUGUUCCUUGACUUACAAGGAGGGUCACCACCUUCUAACUCACUGUAAUUUGAAAAUAGAGGGGCUGGUAGUAAGUUACAGUUAGACAGAAGCAGCAGCGGGGUGAGUCAAAUAACAGACACACACUGUGCACCUCAAAAAGUUACAGGGAAGAUUUGGGAGGUUUCAUCAUAAAGAAAGGAGAGACAUGCCUAAAUGAUUUAAAUAUUACAGAUAUCCAGACAUCAUUCCAUUAAUAUGUAUGUUAGAAUGUUUUAUGUAUCAGUUCGAAAAUAUACUUUAAAAAAAAAAGAGCUGUAAAUUUACAUUUAGUAGAUUACACGCAAUCAACUGAACAUCCUAGCGUAGAAACUAAAUCCGCUGUGCUCACGGCAUGCUUCCCCCCACCCUUCAGAGGCUAUCAGAGCUUUGCUGCCACCGUCCAGCUUCGUACCCAGGAGGCCAGCAGUCAAAGCAUGGUCGAUACUAAUGCAUGGGGCUUUGCAGCCACGAAGUUGGAAACCUGGAAGCUGAACUACCUUAAUUCUGGAAACGCUGGUUACACUCAUUGCUUGACUUUGCAGAAAAUAUAAAUAUUCCAUCAAUGAAAGGGUUUGCCUUGUUCACAUUGUGAAGGAAAUGAGAAAGUUGUCAGAAUAAAAAAGGAAUCACUGUGUCAGCCCUAACAACAAGGGGGGGGGGGGGAAGCUGUGUGUGUGUGUGUGUGUGUGUGUGUGUGUGUGUGUGUGCAGCUUGCAUGCGCUGGCUCGGAGGUUAAGAGCACUGACUGCUCUCCCAGAGGUCCUGAGUUCAAUUCCCAGCAACCACAUGGUGGCUCACAACCAUCUGUAAUGAGAUCUGAUGCCCUCUUCUGGUGUCUGAAGACAGCUACAGUGUACUCAUAUAAAUAAAAUAAAUCUUAAAAAAAAUGAGGCUGGGAUGUUAUAAAGGGAUGUCAUGAAAACCUGACAGCAACCAUCACGCCCGGGUUGACCAGAACCGCAGCAUGCACAGGGGACAACAACCUUGUGGGGAAAGCACGUCUCCAAGGGCUUCUGCCCAGUGCCCUUCAGCCUCGACUCAAGCCACUCUUGUUAUCAGCCACCGUGGCCAGAAGACUUUUGAAAUACCUGAUACUGAUGCUCACUUUUGGUUUGAAGGCUCUGCUUUCAAAGCCCUGUGAACACACCCAUACUUCACCGUCACAGUCCCCCUCAGUGUUCUGCUGCUCCCAAAUAAAUAGCAGUUAUUGCUUUGAGCAUCUGUCCUUGUUUUAAAAAAAAAAAGUUUGAUGAGAUUUUUAUCAAAAGCUCGUCACCACUUUUAGAAAACAAUGCCCCCGGGGUUGGGGAUUUAGCUCAGUGGUAGAGCGCUUGCCUAGGAAGCGCAAGGCCCUGGGUUUGGUCCCCAGCUCCGGAAAAAAAAAAAAAAAAAGAACCAAAAAAAAAAAAAAAAAAAAGAAAGAAAACAA
Long non-coding RNA from Rattus norvegicus (Norway rat), 1906 nucleotides. RefSeq lists it as uncharacterized. NCBI's taxonomy places the organism in Eukaryota, Metazoa, Chordata, Mammalia, Rodentia, Muridae. The record is from RefSeq and is a predicted model, not a curated record.